This 451-nucleotide ribosomal RNA is filed under the name uncultured bacterium. RNAcentral describes it as "bacterial SSU rRNA". It matches the Rfam family "Bacterial small subunit ribosomal RNA", at positions 329 to 794 of the family's 1533-position model. The record is from RNAcentral.
UGCCAGACUCCUACGGGAGGCAGCAGUGGGGAAUAUUGGGCAAUGGGCGCAAGCCUGACCCAGCAACGCCGCGUGAAGGAAGAAGGCUUUCGGGUUGUAAACUUCUUUUGUCAGGGACGAAGCAAGUGACGGUACCUGACGAAUAAGCCACGGCUAACUACGUGCCAGCAGCCGCGGUAAUACGUAGGUGGCAAGCGUUAUCCGGAUUUAUUGGGUGUAAAGGGCGUGUAGGCGGGAAUGCAAGUCAGAUGUGAAAACUACGGGCUUAACUUGUAGACUGCAGUUGAAACUGGUUUUCUUGAGUGAAGUAGAGGUUGGCGGAAUUCCGAGUGUAGCGGUGAAAUGCGUAGAUAUUCGGAGGAACACCGGUGGCGAAGGCGGCCAACUGGGCUUUAACUGACGCUGAGGCUCGAAAGUGUGGGGAGCAAACAGGAUUAGAUACCCCGGUAGU